RNAcentral lists this ribosomal RNA (497 nucleotides) under uncultured bacterium. RNAcentral's name for it is "partial 16S ribosomal RNA". It matches the Rfam family "Bacterial small subunit ribosomal RNA", at positions 28 to 507 of the family's 1533-position model. The record is from RNAcentral.
GACGAACGCUGGCGGCGUGCCUAAUACAUGCAAGUUGAGCGCUGAAGGUUGGUACUUGUACCAACUGGAUGAGCAGCGAACGGGUGAGUAACGCGUGGGGAAUCUGCCUUUGAGCGGGGGACAACAUUUGGAAACGAAUGCUAAUACCGCAUAAAAACUUUAAACACUAGUUUUAAGUUUGAAAGAUGCAAUUGCAUCACUCAAAGAUGAUCCCGCGUUGUAUUAGCUAGUUGGUGAGGUAAAGGCUCACCAAGGCGAUGAUACAUAGCCGACCUGAGAGGGUGAUCGGCCACAUUGGGACUGAGACACGGCCCAAACUCCUACGGGAGGCAGCAGUAGGGAAUCUUCGGCAAUGGACGAAAGUCUGACCGAGCAACGCCGCGUGAGUGAAGAAGGUUUUCGGAUCGUAAAACUCUGUUGGUAGAGAAGAACGUUGGUGAGAGUGGAAAGCUCAUCAAGUGACGGUAACUACCCAGAAAGGGACGGCUAACUACGUG